UCUGGGAUUAGAUACCCUGUUAUUUAAGAUGUAAAUUAUUUAUUAAGGUAGUAGUAGUUAUGUUCUUGAAACUUAAAAAAUUUGGCGGUAUUUUAGUCUAUUCAGAGGAAUCUGUUCUGUAAUCGAUAUUCCACGUUGGACCUUACUUAAAUUUGUUUUGCAAUUUAUAUACCGUUGUUAUUAAAAUAUUUUUAAAAAAUGAUAAUAUUUAAUUUUUUAGAUAAAAAUUUAUAUCAAAUCAAGGUGUAGUUAAUAUUUAAGUAGAAAUGGAUUACAAUAAAUCUAUUUUUGGAUAUAAAUAUGAAAAAUUUGUUGAAAUUGGAUUUGAUAGUAAAAUUAUAUAGAUUAAUAAUUUGAUUUUAGCUCUAAAAUAUGUACAAAUCGCCCGUCACUCUCUGA
This 399-nucleotide ribosomal RNA is filed under the name Anthomyza gilviventris. RNAcentral's name for it is "partial 12S small subunit ribosomal RNA". The record is from RNAcentral. Lineage: Eukaryota; Metazoa; Arthropoda; Insecta; Diptera; Anthomyzidae.